AGAGUUUGAUCCUGGCUCAGGACGAACGCUUGCGGCGUGCCUAAGAAAUGCAAGUCGAACGGUGUAGCAAUACAUAGUGGCGAACGGUCGCGUAACACGUAAGCAACCUGCCCGAAAGUGGGGGACAACAUCCCGAAAGGGGUGCUAAUACCGCAUGUGGUUGUUUUCUCGCAUGAGAGAACAUCUAAAGCCUUGUGCGCUUUCGGAUGGGCUUGCGGCCUAUCAGGUAGAUGGUGGGGUAAUGGCCUACCAAGCCGGUGACGGGUCGCUGGUCUGAGAGGAUGACCAGCCAGACUGGGACUGAGACACGGCCCAGACUCCUACGGGAGGCAGCAGCAAGGGAUUUUCCCCAAUGGGCGCAAGCCUGAGGUAGCAACGCCGCGUGGGUGAAGAAGGUCUUCGGGUUGUAAAGCCCUUUUAGCACUGACGAGAACAAGGACGGUAGGUGCUGAAGAAGUCUCGGCUAACUACGUGCCAGCAGCCGCGGUAAUAC
RNAcentral lists this ribosomal RNA (493 nucleotides) under uncultured bacterium. Its description in RNAcentral is "bacterial SSU rRNA". It matches the Rfam family "Bacterial small subunit ribosomal RNA", at positions 8 to 526 of the family's 1533-position model. The record is from RNAcentral.